This 401-nucleotide ribosomal RNA is filed under the name uncultured bacterium. RNAcentral describes it as "bacterial SSU rRNA". It matches the Rfam family "Bacterial small subunit ribosomal RNA", at positions 355 to 773 of the family's 1533-position model. The record is from RNAcentral.
UGGGGAAUCUUGCACAAUGGAGGCAACUCUGAUGCAGCGACGCCGCGUGAGCGAUGAAGCCCCUCGGGGUGUAAAGCUCUUUCGGCAGGGACGAUAAUGACGGUACCUGAAGAAGAAGCUGCGGCUAACUACGUGCCAGCAGCCGCGGUAAUACGUAGGCAGCGAGCGUUGUUCGGAAUUACUGGGCGUAAAGAGUGUGUAGGCGGUGUUCUAAGUUCGGUGUGAAAUCUCCUGGCUUAACUGGGAGGGUGCGCCGAAAACUGGAAUGCUCGAGCGUGGGAGAGGAAAGCGGAAUUCCUGGUGUAGCGGUGAAAUGCGUAGAUAUCAGGAGGAACACCAGCGGUGUAGACGGCUUUCUGGACCAUUGCUGACGCUGAGACACGAAAGCGUGGGUAGCAAAC